GGCUAGUGCCCACUCCUCCCGCUCGGCUGGAGGCCCAGGGCGGGCCAGGCCCUCUGCAGAGGCACACCCGCCCCCAAGCCCAGGUCUCCUGCCUCCUCUCCACUUUGCUAAAUGCUCAGAUUAAGGCUCCUCCCUCGAAGCAAUUGUCCAUCCCUACACCCGUCUCAUGGAUACAUAAGAGUGCAUCUCAUGAAUAUUUUAUUUUAGCAAUGACCAAGGUCAAACUCUUCAGAAGAAAACUGAGACAAAGAAAAUGAACAGCUCGGCCCCUGUCACAGGGUAGAACGGGAGCAAAACCGAAGUCCCCUCUGCCCCAGCUAAGAGCCCUGUCCACUCUUUUUGUGACUUUAGCACUUACUCAUGUAGCCGCAGCAUCGCUGCCACCGACCCGCGUCCCAGAAGAAUCCCUGUGUUCAGUUCCGUGGAGCCUCCCCACCCGAAGAGCACAGGGGCUCCUUGAGGGCAGGGACGGAACCUUUCACGCCCUUGGCUUGCAUGGAGUGAGAAGACAGAGCAAAGGACAGCCGGAUUUAAUUAGCUAAAUCUCAGCUCAGACAGCACCAGAUCCUUCCCCCCGGCCACCUCCCACUGCCCCAGCAAUCUCAGCCGGCACACGUCUCCUGAUUGCAUUUCCAGGUCCUCCCGUGCCUUUGAUGAACUUCUGUGUUUUUCAGCCGCUGAAACGGCAGAAGCAGCCAUUGUGUUGCCCCAGGUGGGAAAUAGCGCUGUAGGGAACAGGCAGUUAAUAAGCUUAACAGGUAGGGACAGAGGCUCGUUAAUGGUUGCUCUGUGAUUUGUGGCUAGUUCCUCCCAGCCCCUAAAUCUUGAAAUAAAUAUAUUCAGAGACUUCGUUAUCCCAGAAGAGGAUGUGGAUCAUUUUUCUUUCAUUAACAACGGAGCCACCACAGCAACGUGUGUAUUAUCCGUGCAUUUCCAAGCCCAGAAGCUUGUCCCUUUAAAGCUGCUUGCACUGAAGUUUGAUCAGCCUUUGAUGAAAGAAGACUUACAGAUAGCAGACAACCUGGUAACCAUCUGUGCCCAAUGCAUAUUAAAAGAGAUGUAAACUCACCAAAGCUUCCCAGCAUAUAUCAGUUUAUCCACUCCAGGGAAGACAGAGGAUGAUUAGAUAAUCUGGGACCAAAUCUCUGGACUCAGCAGGGCCAUGUUAAUGAGGAACUUUGCUGAAGUGAACAGCAGGCGGGUACCCUCAAGAAAGGAAAUUUCUGGAUGGAGGGUGUCUCCAACUUUUCCUCUUUCUGGUUAUCUCUCUGACGUGGUAGACGCUUAGGGAUGUCUCUGUCCAACCACAAGACCACACACACAUCCCUGAGCCCUAACAGGUGUGGGUCCAGGCAGCUACGUCAUUACAUCCUAUGACCCUCUGUGACCACCUUCCCCGGCGCCUCAUGUCCAUACAUCCUUGGAGAAGCUUUUGGCCCAGGCUGAGAGGCGUCUUCUGCAAUCGGAACUCAGGGCAUCACCAUAUCCUCCGUCUGACAAUCCGCUCUGACCAUCUCAACUGCUCAGAUAUUUUUCUGUGACUUUGGAAUGGACGCGGAGAGGACCAACUCAGACGUUUGAGAAACAUCCUUGUAACGUUGGGAGUGGAAGGGGCGGCAUCUUCUGCCACGUGCUGGGAGAAACAGCCAAGGCUGGUGCGGCGGAAGAACAAAAACAAAUCGGGAGCACGUGGAGCUGGAGGCAGAGACGUCGGGGGAUGCCGAGGGGGCCUCUGGCGGAAGGGAGAGCAAACCCCACCGCCUCGAGCGGCAUCUCCAGCAGGGACCCGGCGGAGUCCUGGGGCGCCUGCAGCCCGCUGGGGUCAGGGACGCAGCGACUGCCUUGCCGUGGCUGUGGUGUCUGCAGCCCGCGGCUGGGGGUCCCGCGCGGCCAGGGCACAGUCCUCCCCCGAGGAGAGGUGGGCAGCGCCCGGUGCCCACGCAGUGACGGCUGCGGUCCUUUCCUGGAGGUGCUCUGGCUGGCUCAGGGCGUUGCCGUUCAACACAGCAAAGCUAGCUAGUACUUCUUGAUCAUUGCGGAGGGAAAAUGCCCCUAAGAUUGUAUAAACAAUAUACAGAAAUGUUCUGACAUGCGUGCCCCUAAUAUGAUCACCAAGACGCACAGGUCGCCCCCACAGCGUGCCUGCCACAGAAGGCACCACCUCUUACUAACCCUGAGGCCACACGAGCUAAAGGCUAACUCAGGGGCUUCCCAGUAAAUCCAGGACCAGCACUCCACCCAGGUGUCACACCAGGAAACACAAGAGAAAACAAAGACUUGCCAAGGAGUGAGAAGCCAAAGGGAGGCGAAGACCGCAUACAACGCGGGACCCGGAGUGGGUCCUAGAACACGAAGAUGACGUUAGUGGGGAAGUGGGGGAAACCUGAGUCAAGUCUGUAGUGACAGCCCUGCGCCAGUGCCAGUGUCUCAGCUUUGAUCACUGUUCCAUGGUUAGGUAACACGUGAACAGAAGGAGAAGCUGGGUGGGCGGGGAUUCUCUGUGCUGUUUUCUCAACUCUUCUGAGUUGAAAACUAUCUCAAAAUAAAAGAGGUUU
Molecule: long non-coding RNA, 2555 nt
Organism: Bos taurus (domestic cattle)
Lineage: Eukaryota; Metazoa; Chordata; Mammalia; Artiodactyla; Bovidae
Source: Ensembl